This is a small nucleolar RNA of Hippocampus comes (tiger tail seahorse), 67 nucleotides long. The record is from Ensembl. Lineage: Eukaryota; Metazoa; Chordata; Actinopteri; Syngnathiformes; Syngnathidae.
UGUGGAUGAUGACUACGUUGUCCCUGAUCAUAGCUGAGGGUCAAAACUGAUUUAAUGAGCCUGAUGC